Molecule: microRNA precursor, 84 nt
Organism: Carlito syrichta (Philippine tarsier)
Lineage: Eukaryota; Metazoa; Chordata; Mammalia; Primates; Tarsiidae
Source: Ensembl
GCAUCCAGGUUGAGGUAGUAGGUUGUAUGGUUUAGAGUUACACCCUGGGAGUUAACUGUACAACCUUCUAGCUUUCCUUGGAGC